GUGGGGAAUCUUGCGCAAUGGGCGAAAGCCUGACGCAGCCAUGCCGCGUGAAUGAUGAAGGUCUUAGGAUUGUAAAAUUCUUUCACCGGGGACGAUAAUGACGGUACCCGGAGAAGAAGCCCCGGCUAACUUCGUGCCAGCAGCCGCGGUAAUACGAAGGGGGCUAGCGUUGCUCGGAAUUACUGGGCGUAAAGGGCGCGUAGGCGGACAGUUUAGUCAGAGGUGAAAGCCCAGGGCUCAACCUUGGAAUUGCCUUUGAUACUGGCUGUCUUGAGUACGGGAGAGGUGAGUGGAACGCCGAGUGUAGAGGUGAAAUUCGUAGAUAUUCGGAAGAACACCAGUGGCGAAGGCGACUCACUGGCCCGUUACUGACGCUGAGGCGCGAAAGCGUGGGGAGCAAACAGGAUUAGAUACCCGUGUAGUCC
RNAcentral lists this ribosomal RNA (425 nucleotides) under uncultured bacterium. RNAcentral's name for it is "partial 16S ribosomal RNA". It matches the Rfam family "Bacterial small subunit ribosomal RNA", at positions 354 to 796 of the family's 1533-position model. The record is from RNAcentral.